Non-coding RNA from Pelobates cultripes (western spadefoot toad), 295 nucleotides. The record is from the annotation of a GenBank genome assembly. NCBI's taxonomy places the organism in Eukaryota, Metazoa, Chordata, Amphibia, Anura, Pelobatidae.
GCAGGUGACACAGUGACAGAGUUAGGAGGGAGUGACUAGUGACAGAGGGAUGGGGUGACUAGUGGCAGAGUGAGGGAAGGAAGGGGUGACUAGUGACAGAGUGAGGGAGGUGGUGACUGUCACUAGUCACCACCUCCCUCCCUCUGUCACUACUCCCUCCCUCCUUCUGUCACUAGUCACGCCCUCCCUCACUCUGUCACAUGUCAUCCCCUCCCUCACUCUGUCACCAGUCAUCCCCUUCCCUCACUCUGUCACUAGUCACCCCCUCCCCUCCCUCACUCUGUCACUAGUCACC